Molecule: ribosomal RNA, 1792 nt
Filed under: Shigella flexneri
Lineage: Bacteria; Pseudomonadati; Pseudomonadota; Gammaproteobacteria; Enterobacterales; Enterobacteriaceae
Description: partial 23S ribosomal RNA
Rfam family: Bacterial large subunit ribosomal RNA
Source: RNAcentral
CAUGGUUAAGUGGGAAACGAUGUGGGAAGGCCCAGACAGCCAGGAUGUUGGCUUAGAAGCAGCCAUCAUUUAAAGAAAGCGUAAUAGCUCACUGGUCGAGUCGGCCUGCGCGGAAGAUGUAACGGGGCUAAACCAUGCACCGAAGCUGCGGCAGCGACGCUUAUGCGUUGUUGGGUAGGGGAGCGUUCUGUAAGCCUGUGAAGGUGUGCUGUGAGGUAUGCUGGAGGUAUCAGAAGUGCGAAUGCUGACAUAAGUAACGAUAAAGCGGGUGAAAAGCCCGCUCGCCGGAAGACCAAGGGUUCCUGUCCAACGUUAAUCGGGGCAGGGUGAGUCGACCCCUAAGGCGAGGCCGAAAGGCGUAGUCGAUGGGAAACAGGUUAAUAUUCCUGUACUUGGUGUUACUGCGAAGGGGGGACGGAGAAGGCUAUGUUGGCCGGGCGACGGUUGUCCCGGUUUAAGCGUGUAGGCUGGUUUUCCAGGCAAAUCCGGAAAAUCAAGGCCGAGGCGUGAUGACGAGGCACUACGGUGCUGAAGCAACAAAUGCCCUGCUUCCAGGAAAAGCCUCUAAGCAUCAGGUAACAUCAAAUCGUACCCCAAACCGACACAGGUGGUCAGGUAGAGAAUACCAAGGCGCUUGAGAGAACUCGGGUGAAGGAACUAGGCAAAAUGGUGCCGUAACUUCGGGAGAAGGCACGCUGAUACGUAGGUGAAGCGACUUGCUCGUGGAGCUGAAAUCAGUCGAAGAUACCAGCUGGCUGCAACUGUUUAUUAAAAACACAGCACUGUGCAAACACGAAAGUGGACGUAUACGGUGUGACGCCUGCCCGGUGCCGGAAGGUUAAUUGAUGGGGUUAGCGCAAGCGAAGCUCUUGAUCGAAGCCCCGGUAAACGGCGGCCGUAACUAUAACGGUCCUAAGGUAGCGAAAUUCCUUGUCGGGUAAGUUCCGACCUGCACGAAUGGCGUAAUGAUGGCCAGGCUGUCUCCACCCGAGACUCAGUGAAAUUGAACUCGCUGUGAAGAUGCAGUGUACCCGCGGCAAGACGGAAAGACCCCGUGAACCUUUACUAUAGCUUGACACUGAACAUUGAGCCUUGAUGUGUAGGAUAGGUGGGAGGCUUUGAAGUGUGGACGCCAGUCUGCAUGGAGCCGACCUUGAAAUACCACCCUUUAAUGUUUGAUGUUCUAACGUGGACCCGUGAUCCGGGUUGCGGACAGUGUCUGGUGGGUAGUUUGACUGGGGCGGUCUCCUCCUAAAGAGUAACGGAGGAGCACGAAGGUUGGCUAAUCCUGGUCGGACAUCAGGAGGUUAGUGCAAUGGCAUAAGCCAGCUUGACUGCGAGCGUGACGGCGCGAGCAGGUGCGAAAGCAGGUCAUAGUGAUCCGGUGGUUCUGAAUGGAAGGGCCAUCGCUCAACGGAUAAAAGGUACUCCGGGGAUAACAGGCUGAUACCGCCCAAGAGUUCAUAUCGACGGCGGUGUUUGGCACCUCGAUGUCGGCUCAUCACAUCCUGGGGCUGAAGUAGGUCCCAAGGGUAUGGCUGUUCGCCAUUUAAAGUGGUACGCGAGCUGGGUUUAGAACGUCGUGAGACAGUUCGGUCCCUAUCUGCCGUGGGCGCUGGAGAACUGAGGGGGGCUGCUCCUAGUACGAGAGGACCGGAGUGGACGCAUCACUGGUGUUCGGGUUGUCAUGCCAAUGGCACUGCCCGGUAGCUAAAUGCGGAAGAGAUAAGUGCUGAAAGCAUCUAAGCACGAAACUUGCCCCGAGAUGAGUUCUCCCUGACCCUUUAAGGGU